RNAcentral lists this ribosomal RNA (460 nucleotides) under uncultured bacterium. Its description in RNAcentral is "partial 16S ribosomal RNA". It matches the Rfam family "Bacterial small subunit ribosomal RNA", at positions 338 to 795 of the family's 1533-position model. The record is from RNAcentral.
CCUACGGGUGGCAGCAGUGAGGAAUAUUGGUCAAUGGGCGGGAGCCUGAACCAGCCAUGCCGCGUGAAGGCGAGUGCCCUACGGGCGUUAAACUUCUUUUGUGCGGGAGCAAUAAGGGCCACGCGUGGCCCGAUGAGAGUACCGCACGAAUAAGCAUCGGCUAACUCCGUGCCAGCAGCCGCGGUAAUACGGGGGAUGCGAGCGUUAUCCGGAUUUAUUGGGUUUAAAGGGUGCGUAGGCUGUGAGGUAAGUCAGCGGUGAAAUGCCCCCGCUCAACGGGGUGAAGUGCCAUUGAUACUGCCUUGCUGGAAUGCGGAUGCCGUGGGAGGAAUGUGUGGUGUAGCGGUGAAAUGCAUAGAUAUCACACAGAACACCGAUUGCGAAGGCAUCUCACGAAUCCGCGAUUGACGCUGAUGCACGAAAGCGUGGGUAUCAAACAGGAUUAGAUACCCUUGUAGUC